Molecule: long non-coding RNA, 1243 nt
Filed under: Homo sapiens (human)
Lineage: Eukaryota; Metazoa; Chordata; Mammalia; Primates; Hominidae
Description: HSALNT0041170
Source: RNAcentral
UUGGAAGAGAGGAUAAGUACUGGGGGGUCAAAUGGAUUUCAUUUUGGGAUUCCUUCUGAAAUGUUCCUGAAUGUUAAGCAAAAAUGUAGUUAGGCAAACAUGUAGCAGGUUUACCACAUGAGUGCAUUUUUUAAACUGUAAGCAUAAUUAUGUAUUCAAAAUAACUUGUCUAAUUGAUUGGCAACCUGAUAUAAUUGAAAGUUCACUGAGACAAGAACCAGAAGAUUGUUUCUGUGUAGAAGACUGUGCUUCUGAGUUAAGCUGACUAGUAUUUGACUCUCAAGUUUGAUUUUCAUUCCCUUUAACAAUGUGACUUCAUAAGCAUUAUUUUUUCAUCUAUAAAUAUUAGAAUUAAUUGUGAGAAUGGGAGCAAAGUGCCUAGCUCCCUCCCUGAUAUAUUUCAGGUUUAUUACAAAUGUUACUCGCUAUUUUUUCUCUUACUUGUGUCUCAUCUUGUGUAAAUUGCUUCACCUCUCUGGACCCAUUUCUUUAUCUGAAAAACCAAGGGCUUAGUUUGGAUGACCUCAAGUUCUUCCUAUAAUUCUAUGAUUCAACUAUGUACAACUUGGGAUGGCAUGGCCAUGUAAGCAGAGGUUGCAAAACCAGGAUUCAGUAUCAGGCAAAUAAAAUCAAUGUGUAAAACUGUGUAAUGAAAAACAAGGGGGAAUGAUAAACUAAAGAAUACAUAGACCUGCCUAAAAACAUUAAAAAAUCUAAAGCAUUAAAAUAGUGUGCCUGCCAAACCAAAUAUAUUCUUGGGUCAAAUUUGAAUUCUUGGCUCAAAGGUUUCCAAUUUCCAAUCAAGAGCUUUUAAACAUUGACCUCCAUCACCCCACCAGCACCCCAGAUUGUUGACAGGGCAGUCAGAGAAUGGAUCAAUCAUAAUCUUAAAUCAAACUGAUCAAUUACAGUCUAUGCAAGAAUUUUUUAUGGCAGCUGUCAUCUCUAGAAAAAUAUACAUUUGGAGCCACCCAGAUCAUGUCAAGGAGGAAGGGAGAAUUGGGAAGACCAAAUCAGAAAAGAACCAAGCAUAGUUUUUGUUUCUGGCUAAGCCGUGGUUUGGCUGUGAAGAUAUGACUUCACAGCAUCCUAUUGAGAAUCACGUCUUUGCAGUGGAUAUUUUUUUUUCUUCCCUGCCAUGAACGUGUCUGAGAACCAUAGCAGUUUUCACAGAAGAAAAUUAACUAAUUCAUUAUUGCUUAUAAUUUGCUGAGGCAUAGCUGCCAUAUUUGUAAAAUCAGCA